Molecule: ribosomal RNA, 148 nt
Filed under: uncultured bacterium
Lineage: Bacteria
Description: partial 16S ribosomal RNA
Rfam family: Bacterial small subunit ribosomal RNA
Source: RNAcentral
CUUCCUAUCCUACGGGAGGCAGCAGUGGGGAAUAUUGGACAAUGGGCGCAAGCCUGAUCCAGCCAUGCCGCGUGAGUGAUGAAGGCCUUAGGGUUGUAAAGCUCUUUUACCCGGGAAGAUAAUGACAGUACCGCAGAAUAGGCCACGC